This 253-nucleotide ribosomal RNA is filed under the name uncultured bacterium. Its description in RNAcentral is "partial 16S ribosomal RNA". It matches the Rfam family "Bacterial small subunit ribosomal RNA", at positions 524 to 776 of the family's 1533-position model. The record is from RNAcentral.
UACGGGGGGGGCAAGCGUUGUUCGGAAUUACUGGGCGUAAAGGGCUCGUAGGCGGCCAACUAAGUCGGAUGUGAAAUCCCCAGGCUCAACCUGGGAACUGCAUCCGAUACUGGAUGGCUUGAAUCCGGGAGAGGGAUGCGGAAUUCCAGGUGUAGCGGUGAAAUGCGUAGAUAUCUGGAGGAACACCGGUGGCGAAGGCGGCAUCCUGGACCGGCAUUGACGCUGAGGAGCGAAAGCCAGGGGAGCAAAUGGG